AAAUUGAAGAGUUUGAUCAUGGCUCAGAUUGAACGCUGGCGGCAGGCCUAACACAUGCAAGUCGAGCGGUAGCACAGAGAGCUUGCUCUCGGGUGACGAGCGGCGGACGGGUGAGUAAUGUCUGGGAAACUGCCUGAUGGAGGGGGAUAACUACUGGAAACGGUAGCUAAUACCGCAUAACGUCGCAAGACCAAAGAGGGGGACCUUCGGGCCUCUUGCCAUCAGAUGUGCCCAGAUGGGAUUAGCUAGUAGGUGGGGUAACGGCUCACCUAGGCGACGAUCCCUAGCUGGUCUGAGAGGAUGACCAGCCACACUGGAACUGAGACACGGUCCAGACUCCUACGGGAGGCAGCAGUGGGGAAUAUUGCACAAUGGGCGCAAGCCUGAUGCAGCCAUGCCGCGUGUAUGAAGAAGGCCUUCGGGUUGUAAAGUACUUUCAGCGAGGAGGAAGGUGUUGAGGUUAAUAACCUCAGCAAUUGACGUUACUCGCAGAAGAAGCACCGGCUAACUCCGUGCCAGCAGCCGCGGUAAUACGGAGGGUGCAAGCGUUAAUCGGAAUUACUGGGCGUAAAGCGCACGCAGGCGGUCUGUCAAGUCGGAUGUGAAAUCCCCGGGCUCAACCUGGGAACUGCAUUCGAAACUGGCAGGCUAGAGUCUUGUAGAGGGGGGUAGAAUUCCAGGUGUAGCGGUGAAAUGCGUAGAGAUCUGGAGGAAUACCGGUGGCGAAGGCGGCCCCCUGGACAAAGACUGACGCUCAGGUGCGAAAGCGUGGGGAGCAAACAGGAUUAGAUACCCUGGUAGUCCACGCCGUAAACGAUGUCGACUUGGAGGUUGUGCCCUUGAGGCGUGGCUUCCGGAGCUAACGCGUUAAGUCGACCGCCUGGGGAGUACGGCCGCAAGGUUAAAACUCAAAUGAAUUGACGGGGGCCCGCACAAGCGGUGGAGCAUGUGGUUUAAUUCGAUGCAACGCGAAGAACCUUACCUACUCUUGACAUCCAGAGAACUUAGCAGAGAUGCUUUGGUGCCUUCGGGAACUCUGAGACAGGUGCUGCAUGGCUGUCGUCAGCUCGUGUUGUGAAAUGUUGGGUUAAGUCCCGCAACGAGCGCAACCCUUAUCCUUUGUUGCCAGCGGUUCGGCCGGGAACUCAAAGGAGACUGCCAGUGAUAAACUGGAGGAAGGUGGGGAUGACGUCAAGUCAUCAUGGCCCUUACGAGUAGGGCUACACACGUGCUACAAUGGCGCAUACAAAGAGAAGCGACCUCGCGAGAGCAAGCGGACCUCAUAAAGUGCGUCGUAGUCCGGAUUGGAGUCUGCAACUCGACUCCAUGAAGUCGGAAUCGCUAGUAAUCGUAGAUCAGAAUGCUACGGUGAAUACGUUCCCGGGCCUUGUACACACCGCCCGUCACACCAUGGGAGUGGGUUGCAAAAGAAGUAGGUAGCUUAACCUUCGGGAGGGCGCUUACCACUUUGUGAUUCAUGACUGGGGUGAAGUCGUAACAAGGUAACCGUAGGGGAACCUGCGGUUGGAUCACCUCCUUACCUUAAAGAA
This 1550-nucleotide ribosomal RNA is filed under the name Enterobacter wuhouensis. Its description in RNAcentral is "bacterial SSU rRNA". It matches the Rfam family "Bacterial small subunit ribosomal RNA". Lineage: Bacteria; Pseudomonadati; Pseudomonadota; Gammaproteobacteria; Enterobacterales; Enterobacteriaceae. The record is from RNAcentral.